This 301-nucleotide ribosomal RNA is filed under the name uncultured bacterium. RNAcentral describes it as "partial 16S ribosomal RNA". It matches the Rfam family "Bacterial small subunit ribosomal RNA", at positions 509 to 807 of the family's 1533-position model. The record is from RNAcentral.
CAGCCGCCGCGGUAAUACGUAGGUGGCAAGCGUUGUCCGGAAUUAUUGGGCGUAAAGGGCGCGUAGGCGGCCGAUCAAGUCAGGCGUGAAAGCCCCGGGCUUAACCUGGGAACUGCGUUUGGGACUGGUUGGCUUGAGUUCGGGAGAGGAGAGUGGAAUUCCCAGUGUAGAGGUGAAAUUCGUAGAUAUUGGGAAGAACACCGGUGGCGAAGGCGGCUCUCUGGACCGAUACUGACGCCGAGGCGCGAAAGCGUGGGGAGCAAACAGGAUUAGAUACCCGAGUAGUCCCUGUCUCUUAUAC